AGCCUGAUGGAGCACGCCGCGUGAGUGAGAAGGUCUUAGGAUUGUAAAGCUCUGUCCUUAGGGAAGAACCGUGGAUGCAGCAAAUGGCAUCCAUCUGACGGUACCUUUGGAGGAAGCACUGGCUAACU
This 128-nucleotide ribosomal RNA is filed under the name uncultured bacterium. RNAcentral's name for it is "partial 16S ribosomal RNA". It matches the Rfam family "Bacterial small subunit ribosomal RNA", at positions 380 to 502 of the family's 1533-position model. The record is from RNAcentral.